AUGGGAGGAAAGAGGUGUGGCAGCAGAUAUGUUAGUAGGGUUGCCGCCAUCUUGGUAACGGUAAAUGCAGCCUCCCUUCCUGUACCUAUUGGGAACAGCAGAAACUUCUCCGAAUGCCGGUACCACGAAGGCAACCCACCGAGGACGUUCUUUACAUCUCUGACCGAGUAUUUUUCAGCCAAGAGCAAAGAGGACUAAAAAAAACUCUUCAAAGCUUUCUCAGGCUCAUUACCUAUAGCUGCCCACCAGGAGACCCUCUCUUUCACAGAGGUUUUUUCUGCCAACUCCUUCUGCUGUUACUGCUGCUUGCUGUUGCUACUACUGAGACCUUAGGGAAUUAUUGAAGCUUUCCAAGCAAGGGAGUGGCAUGGAGAGAGGAGAGAAUAGAAAAGUAGGAGACAAUGAAGAGCCCAUUUUAAUAGCGCAGGUAAGAAUGAGGAGGAAGAAUGAAGAGUUGGAGCACUCUGGGUUUGUUAACCUGGUUGGUUGCCUGGAAAGGAAAGAAGGCAGGAGGAACCCUGAGAUUUGGCAGGGGGUUUAUUGUGAAGAACCCUGGAUAUGCAGGCAGCUGGGUGCCUCGGUGGAUAAAGUGCCAGGCCUGGAGGUGAGAGAUCCUGAGUUCAAAUGUGACCACAAAUACUUCCCAAGCAAGUCACUUAACCCCCUUGCCUUGCCCUUCCCUCUCUUCUGCCUUGGAACAGGUACUUGGCACCGACUUGAGCACCAUGGAAAUAUGAAUUGCCUGAAAGCACUGAUAUAA
This is a long non-coding RNA of Monodelphis domestica (gray short-tailed opossum), 760 nucleotides long. Lineage: Eukaryota; Metazoa; Chordata; Mammalia; Didelphimorphia; Didelphidae. The record is from Ensembl.